UCUACUUAUACUUCUACUUAGGAAAAAUACAUAUCCAAACAUAAAUCUACAAAUACCGCAUAUACGAUCAAGAGUCGUAAAAAAAAAUUACGAUAUUGGGGAAUUGUAGGAAAGAGAUCUAAAGGAUCUUUUUCCUCAAAUUCCUCUUUGGCCUUAUUAUAUCAUCCCCCCCUCUCCCCGCCAAUUAAUAUUUUCUUUAUAUUGUUUUGUUCAUUUUUGUUCAUUCAAUUCGAAUAGCAAAUACCAAGAGUGAUAAGUUGAAUAAAAAUUCUUAUAGUAUCACAGGCGGGUGAUUAAAAAAAAAAGAAAAGAAAGAUGCUUUAUAAAAUAAUUCCCCUUUUAGUUGCUUUUAGUCAAUUCUUCAAUUCAACGAUUGACCAAAAGAGAAUAUUAAUAUAAUAAAUUGCAUGGCCGUACCUCAAUCAAAUACUGAUAUUUAGUUCUAUGCAAUGAUUCGCCCCAAUGAAUUCGUCUAUUUCGAUUGUAGCCUGGUGGAUAAUGAUA
This 504-nucleotide long non-coding RNA is filed under the name Citrus maxima (pomelo). RNAcentral's name for it is "long non-coding RNA (CMAX_LNC004267)". Lineage: Eukaryota; Viridiplantae; Streptophyta; Magnoliopsida; Sapindales; Rutaceae. The record is from RNAcentral.